GACGAACGCUGGCGGCGUGCCUAAUACAUGCAAGUUGAGCGCUGAAGGUUGGUACUUGUACCAACUGGAUGAGCAGCGAACGGGUGAGUAACGCGUGGGGAAUCUGCCUUUGAGCGGGGGACAACAUUUGGAAACGAAUGCUAAUACCGCAUAAAAACUUUAAACAUAAGUUUUAAGUUUGAAAGAUGCAAUUGCAUCACUCAAAGAUGAUCCCGCGUUGUAUUAGCUAGUUGGUGAGGUAAAGGCUCACCAAGGCGAUGAUACGUAGCCGACCUGAGAGGGUGAUCGGCCACAUUGGGACUGAGACACGGCCCAAACGCCUACGGGAGGCAGCAGUAGGGAAUCGUCGGCAAUGGACGAAAGUCUGACCGAGCAACGCCGCGGGAGGGAAGAAGGUUUUCGGAUCGUAAAACUCUGUUGGUAGAGAAGAACGUUGGUGAGAGUGGAAAGCUCAUCAAGUGACGGUAACUACCCAGAAAGGGACGGCUAACUACGUG
This 497-nucleotide ribosomal RNA is filed under the name uncultured bacterium. RNAcentral's name for it is "partial 16S ribosomal RNA". It matches the Rfam family "Bacterial small subunit ribosomal RNA", at positions 28 to 507 of the family's 1533-position model. The record is from RNAcentral.